AUAAUGGGUCAGCGACUUAUAUUCUGUAGCAAGGUUAACCGAAUAGGGGAGCCGAAGGGAAACCGAGUCUUAACUGGGCGUUAAGUUGCAGGGUAUAGACCCGAAACCCGGUGAUCUAGCCAUGGGCAGGUUGAAGGUUGGGUAACACUAACUGGAGGACCGAACCGACUAAUGUUGAAAAAUUAGCGGAUGACUUGUGGCUGGGGGUGAAAGGCCAAUCAAACCGGGAGAUAGCUGGUUCUCCCCGAAAGCUAUUUAGGUAGCGCCUCGUGAAUUCAUCUCCGGGGGUAGAGCACUGUUUCGGCAAGGGGGUCAUCCCGACUUACCAACCCGAUGCAAACUGCGAAUACCGGAGAAUGUUAUCACGGGAGACACACGGCGGGUGCUAACGUCCGUCGUGAAGAGGGAAACAACCCAGACCGCCAGCUAAGGUCCCAAAGUCAUGGUUAAGUGGGAAACGAUGUGGGAAGGCCCAGACAGCCAGGAUGUUGGCUUAGAAGCAGCCAUCAUUUAAAGAAAGCGUAAUAGCUCACUGGUCGAGUCGGCCUGCGCGGAAGAUGUAACGGGGCUAAACCAUGCACCGAAGCUGCGGCAGCGACGCUUAUGCGUUGUUGGGUAGGGGAGCGUUCUGUAAGCCUGCGAAGGUGUGCUGUGAGGCAUGCUGGAGGUAUCAGAAGUGCGAAUGCUGACAUAAGUAACGAUAAAGCGGGUGAAAAGCCCGCUCGCCGGAAGACCAAGGGUUCCUGUCCAACGUUAAUCGGGGCAGGGUGAGUCGACCCCUAAGGCGAGGCCGAAAGGCGUAGUCGAUGGGAAACAGGUUAAUAUUCCUGUACUUGGUGUUACUGCGAAGGGGGGACGGAGAAGGCUAUGUUGGCCGGGCGACGGUUGUCCCGGUUUAAGCGUGUAGGCUGGUUUUCCA
RNAcentral lists this ribosomal RNA (919 nucleotides) under Escherichia coli. RNAcentral's name for it is "partial 23S ribosomal RNA". It matches the Rfam family "Bacterial large subunit ribosomal RNA", at positions 612 to 1535 of the family's 2925-position model. Lineage: Bacteria; Pseudomonadati; Pseudomonadota; Gammaproteobacteria; Enterobacterales; Enterobacteriaceae. The record is from RNAcentral.